UGAACCAGUACCGUGAGGGAAAGGCGAAAAGAACCCCGGCGAGGGGAGUGAAAAAGAACCUGAAACCGUGUACGUACAAGCAGUGGGAGCCCCACCACUAAGCCAGUGGUGAACUCCACAUACGCAUCCUUUGCUGAGGAUACGGUUAACGGAGCGAAAGCGACGUUCAACCGCAAAAGAAGCAGAGGGGGCUUAGUGGUGGGGUGACUGCGUACCUUUUGUAUAAUGGGUCAGCGACUUAUAUUCUGUAGCAAGGUUAACCGAAUAGGGGAGCCGGAGGGAAACCGAGUCUUAAUUGGGCGUUAAGUUGCAGGGUAUAGACCCGAAACCCGGUGAUCUAGCCAUGGGCAGGUUGAAGGUUGGGUAACACUAACUGGAGGACCGAACCGACUAAUGUUGAAAAAUUAGCGGAUGACCUGUGGCUGGGGGUGAAAGGCCAAUCAAACCGGGAGAUAGCUGGUUCUCCCCGAAAGCUAUUUAGGUAGCGCCUCGUGAAUUCAUCUCCGGGGGUAGAGCACUGUUUCGGCUAGGGGGCCAUCCCGGCUUACCAACCCGAUGCAAACUGCGAAUACCGGAGAAUGUUAUCACGGGAGACACACGGCGGGUGCUAACGUCCGUCGUGAAGAGGGAAACAACCCAGACCGCCAGCUAAGGUCCCAAAGUCAUGGUUAAGUGGGAAACGAUGUGGGAAGGCCCAGACAGCCAGGAUGUUGGCUUAGAAGCAGCCAUCAUUUAAAGAAAGCGUAAUAGCUCACUGGUCGAGUCGGCCUGCGCGGAAGAUGUAACGGGGCUAAACCAUG
RNAcentral lists this ribosomal RNA (800 nucleotides) under Salmonella enterica. RNAcentral describes it as "partial 23S ribosomal RNA". It matches the Rfam family "Bacterial large subunit ribosomal RNA", at positions 491 to 1191 of the family's 2925-position model. Lineage: Bacteria; Pseudomonadati; Pseudomonadota; Gammaproteobacteria; Enterobacterales; Enterobacteriaceae. The record is from RNAcentral.